This 431-nucleotide ribosomal RNA is filed under the name uncultured bacterium. Its description in RNAcentral is "partial 16S ribosomal RNA". It matches the Rfam family "Bacterial small subunit ribosomal RNA", at positions 29 to 507 of the family's 1533-position model. The record is from RNAcentral.
AACGAACGCUGGCGGCAGGCUUAACACAUGCAAGUCGAACGCCCCGCAAGGGGAGUGGCAGACGGGUGAGUAACGCGUGGGAACAUACCCUUUCCUGCGGAAUAGCUCCGGGAAACUGGAAUUAAUACCGCAUACGCCCUACGGGGGAAAGAUUUAUCGGGGAAGGAUUGGCCCGCGUUGGAUUAGCUAGUUGGUGGGGUAAAGGCCUACCAAGGCGACGAUCCAUAGCUGGUCUGAGAGGAUGAUCAGCCACAUUGGGACUGAGACACGGCCCAAACUCCUACGGGAGGCAGCAGUGGGGAAUAUUGGACAAUGGGCGCAAGCCUGAUCCAGCCAUGCCGCGUGAGCGAUGAAGGCCUUAGGGUUGUAAAGCUCUUUCACCGAUGAAGAUAAUGACGGUAGUCGGAGAAGAAGCCCCGGCUAACUUCGUG